RNAcentral lists this ribosomal RNA (460 nucleotides) under uncultured bacterium. Its description in RNAcentral is "partial 16S ribosomal RNA". It matches the Rfam family "Bacterial small subunit ribosomal RNA", at positions 338 to 795 of the family's 1533-position model. The record is from RNAcentral.
CCUACGGGAGGCAGCAGUGAGGAAUAUUGGUCAAUGGACGAGAGUCUGAACCAGCCAAGUAGCGUGAAGGAUGACUGCCCUAUGGGUUGUAAACUUCUUUUAUAUGGGAAUAAAACGUUCCACGUGUGGGAUUUUGUAUGUAUCAUAUGAAUAAGGAUCGGCUAACUCCGUGCCAGCAGCCGCGGUAAUACGGAGGAUCCGAGCAUUAUCCGGAUUUAUUGGGUUUAAAGGGAGCGUAGGUGGAUUGUUAAGUCAGUUGUGAAAGUUUGCGGCUCAACCGUAAAAUUGCAGUUGAAACUGGCAGUCUUGAGUACAGUAGAGGUGGGCGGAAUUCGUGGUGUAGCGGUGAAAUGCUUAGAUAUCACGAAGAACUCCGAUUGCGAAGGCAGUUCACUGGACUGCAACUGACACUGAGGCUCGAAAGUGUGGGUAUCAAACAGGAUUAGAUACCCUGGUAGUC